CCAUCCUCCAAGGCUAAAUACUCCUGAUUGACCGAUAGUGAACCAGUACUGUGAAGGAAAGGCGAAAAGAACCCCGGUGAGGGGAGUGAAAUAGAACCUGAAACCUUGUACGUACAAGCAGUGGGAGCCCCAUCACUUAAUCCGAUUGGAAGGUGAUGAAAAGCAACCGCACUUAAACAAUGGUAAGAGGAGCGAAGCGAGUCAAACCACCCAAAAGAAGCAGUGGGAUUAAGUGAUGGGGUGACUGCGUACCUUUUGUAUAAUGGGUCAGCGACUUAUAUUUUGUAGCGAGGUUAACCGAAUAGGGGAGCCGAAGGGAAACCGAGUCUUAACUGGGCGAAGAGUUGCAAGGUAUAGACCCGAAACCCGGUGAUCUAGCCAUGGGCAGGUUGAAGGUUGGGUAACACUAACUGGAGGACCGAACCGACUAAUGUUGAAAAAUUAGCGGAUGACUUGUGGCUGGGGGUGAAAGGCCAAUCAAACCGGGAGAUAGCUGGUUCUCCCCGAAAUCUAUUUAGGUAGAGCCUUGAGGUGACACCUUUGGGGGUAGAGCACUGUUUCGGCUAGGGGUCCAUCCCGGAUUACCAACCCGAUGCAAACUACGAAUACCAAAGAGUGAUACUCAGGAGACACACGGCGGGUGCUAACGUCCGUCGUGGAGAGGGAAACAACCCAGACCGCCAGCUAAGGUCCCCAAGUCUAUAUUAAGUGGGAAACGAAGUGGGAAGGCUUAGACAGCUAGGAUGUUGGCUUAGAAGCAGCCAUCAUUUAAAGAAAGCGUAAUAGCUCACUAGUCGAGUCGGCCUGCGCGGAAGAUGUAACGGGGCUGAAAUAUAGCACCGAAGCUGCGGCAUCAG
RNAcentral lists this ribosomal RNA (857 nucleotides) under Haemophilus influenzae. RNAcentral's name for it is "bacterial LSU rRNA". It matches the Rfam family "Bacterial large subunit ribosomal RNA", at positions 453 to 1211 of the family's 2925-position model. Lineage: Bacteria; Pseudomonadati; Pseudomonadota; Gammaproteobacteria; Pasteurellales; Pasteurellaceae. The record is from RNAcentral.